Molecule: ribosomal RNA, 689 nt
Filed under: uncultured bacterium
Lineage: Bacteria
Description: bacterial SSU rRNA
Rfam family: Bacterial small subunit ribosomal RNA
Source: RNAcentral
GUGCCUAAUACAUGCAAGUCGAGCGAAUCUUUGGGAGCUUGCUCCCAUUGGUUAGCGGCGGACGGGUGAGUAACACGUGGGCAACCUGCCUGUAAGACUGGGAUAACUUCGGGAAACCGGAGCUAAUACCGGAUAAUCCAUUUCCUCUCAUGAGGAAAUGCUGAAAGUCGGUUUCGGCUGACACUUACAGAUGGGCCCGCGGCGCAUUAGCUAGUUGGUGAGGUAACGGCUCACCAAGGCGACGAUGCGUAGCCGACCUGAGAGGGUGAUCGGCCACACUGGGACUGAGACACGGCCCAGACUCCUACGGGAGGCAGCAGUAGGGAAUCUUCCACAAUGGACGAAAGUCUGAUGGAGCAACGCCGCGUGAGCGAUGAAGGCCUUCGGGUCGUAAAGCUCUGUUGUUAGGGAAGAACAAGUACCGGAGUAACUGCCGGUACCUUGACGGUACCUAACCAGAAAGCCACGGCUAACUACGUGCCAGCAGCCGCGGUAAUACGUAGGUGGCAAGCGUUGUCCGGAAUUAUUGGGCGUAAAGCGCGCGCAGGCGGUCCUUUAAGUCUGAUGUGAAAGCCCACGGCUCAACCGUGGAGGGUCAUUGGAGACUGGGGGACUUGAGUGCAGAAGAGGAAAGCGGAAUUCACGUGUAGCGGUGAAAUGCGUAGAGAUGUGGAGGACACCAGUGGCGA